Scaptodrosophila lebanonensis is the source of this 91-nucleotide small nucleolar RNA. RefSeq annotates it as small nucleolar RNA Z30a. Lineage: Eukaryota; Metazoa; Arthropoda; Insecta; Diptera; Drosophilidae. The record is from RefSeq and is a predicted model, not a curated record. The transcript has a single exon.
GCCACAUGAUGUCAAAUGCUUGUUAACGGAGUGCGCAGCUGGCAACAGUUGGCGCACGCAUGACCAGUCGACUAAUCUUCUCGCUGAUGGU